Molecule: ribosomal RNA, 497 nt
Filed under: uncultured bacterium
Lineage: Bacteria
Description: partial 16S ribosomal RNA
Rfam family: Bacterial small subunit ribosomal RNA
Source: RNAcentral
GAUGAACGCUGGCGGCGUGCCUAAUACAUGCAAGUCGAGCGAACGGACGAGAAGCUUGCUUCUCUGAUGUUAGCGGCGGACGGGUGAGUAACACGUGGAUAACCUACCUAUAAGACUGGGAUAACUUCGGGAAACCGGAGCUAAUACCGGAUGAUAUUUUGAACCGCAUGGUUCAAAAGUGAAAGACGGUCUUGCUGUCACUUAUAGAUGGAUCCGCGCUGCAUUAGCUAGUUGGUAAGGUAACGGCUUACCAAGGCAACGAUGCAUAGCCGACCUGAGAGGGUGAUCGGCCCCACUGGAACUGAGACCCGGUCCAGGCUCCUACGGGAGGCAGCAGUAGGGACUCUUCCGCAAUGGGCGGAAGCCUGACGGAGCAACGCCGCGUGAGUGAUGAAGGUCUUCGGAUCGUAAAACUCUGUUAUUAGGGAAGAACAUAUGUGUAAGUAACUGUGCACAUCUUGACGGUACCUAAUCAGAAAGCCGCGGCUAACUACGUG